AUGACUUCUACUACUUGUUGAACUUAUCAAAUUCAAUAAGGUUUUUCAAAUCCAUACUUGUUGAACUUGCAUACCGUGUUCAUAUCGGCGAGAAUCUUCUCCGCCAAGCAGCAACGUAUGUUAAGAAGGAGGUUCGAUUCUAUGAGAAAGAGUGGAUACAAACAUCGUGACCGUGUCCCCUUUUCCGUAGCAUCUAACCUCUUUCAUGACGAAGUGCGGUGCCGCCCAGUUGAGAACAUGCUCGCGAGAUGAUCACGGUCUUCAAGUUCAACAACUUCUGUAGUGGUAAGGAAACAAUUUUUGUACAUAGAUGACUUCUGCUACUUGUUGAACUUAUCAAAUUCAAUAAGGUUUUUUCAAAUCCAUACUUGUUGAACUUGCAUACCGUGGUCAUCUCGCAUAGGAUAUUCUCCGCCGAGCAGCAACGUAUGUAAAGAAGGAGGUUUGAUUCUACGAGAAAGAGUGGAUACGGACAUCGUGACCGUGUCCCCUUUUCCGUAGCAUCUAACCUCUUUCAUGACGAAGUGCGGUGCCGUCCAGUUGAGAACAUGCUCGCGAGAUGAUCACGGUCUUCAAGUUCAACAACUUAUGCAGUGUUAAGGUAAUAAUUUUUGUACAUAAAUGGCUUCUGCUACUGGAGAAAGUGGCGAUGGUGGGGGCGAUCGUGGUUCCUAUUUCGGCAAGGGGAAAAUCAUAGUUGGCCCUCAGCAUAAGCCGAAAAAAAAGAGUGUGCUGGAAAAAGCAAUGCUUCGUUAUUUCCAGCAACGUCAUGAAGAAGCUGUUGCCGCGGGUCAGGAACCUCCUUUUGGUGGUCGUUAUGCUCCAACCUCAGUCUCGGGUGUUUCACGUCCACUUAGUACUACCGUUUCAGGCGGCACAAAUAAACCUAAGGAUGAGGUUGGGUCAGCGGAACCUUCGUCUUCACCGUCCAAGGAUGCUUAAAGUCCUCCUAGAUAAUAACCAGUGGAUGGCUUGUUGUAUUGUAUCAUGUUGUUUGGAACUUUAAUUUAAAUAUGUGUAUUUGGAUCUUCAUGUUGUUGUAUUGUACCAUGUUGUUUGGAUCUUUAAUCGAUUUUCACGCGUAAUCCAUUGUAAAGUGUAAUCCAUUUUCAUGCGUAAUACGAUGCAAAUGGACCGGCAAUGGAUGUAUAAUACA
This 1156-nucleotide long non-coding RNA is filed under the name Setaria italica (foxtail millet). RNAcentral's name for it is "long non-coding RNA (SITA_LNC002966)". Lineage: Eukaryota; Viridiplantae; Streptophyta; Magnoliopsida; Poales; Poaceae. The record is from RNAcentral.